Molecule: ribosomal RNA, 773 nt
Filed under: bacterium BEL B12
Lineage: Bacteria
Description: bacterial SSU rRNA
Rfam family: Bacterial small subunit ribosomal RNA
Source: RNAcentral
CAUGCAAGUCGAGCGGACUUGAAGAGAAGCUUGCUUCUCUGAUGGUUAGCGGCGGACGGGUGAGUAACACGUACGCAACCUGUCCUCAAGUUUGGGACAACUACCGGAAACGGUAGCUAAUACCGAAUACUUGUUUUCUUCGCCUGAAGGAAACUGGAAAGAUGGAACAAUCUGUCACUUGCGGAUGGGCCUGCGGCGCAUUAGCUAGUUGGUGAGGUAACGGCUCACCAAGGCGACGAUGCGUAGCCGACCUGAGAGGGUGAUCGGACACACUGGGACUGAUACACGGCCCAGACUCCUACGGGAGGCAUCAGUACGGAAUCUUCCGCAAUGGGCGAAAGCCUGACGGAGCAAUGCCGCGUGAGUGAUGAAGGUUUUCGGAUCGUAAAGCUCUGUUGCCAGGGAAGAACGCUUGGGACAGUAACUGCUCUCAAGGUGACGGUACCUGACAACAAAGCCCCGGCUAACUACGUGCCAGCAGCCGCGGUAAUACGUAGGGGGUAAGCGUUGUCCGGAAUUAUUGGGCGUAAAGAGCGCGCAGGCGGUCAUUUAAGUCUGGUGUUUAAUCCCCGGGCUCAACCCCGGAUCGCACUGGAAACUGGAUGACUUGAGUGCAGAAGAGGAGAGAGGAAUUCCACGUGUAGCGGUGAAAUGCGUAGAUAUGUGGAGGAACACCCCCGGCUAAGUCAACUCUCUGGGCUGUAACUGACGCUGAAGCACGAAAGCGUGUGGAGCAAACAGGAUUAAAUACCCUGGUAGUCCACGCCGUAAAC